GCAAGUCGAACGUGCUUUCGGGCAAGUGGCAGACGGCUGAGUAACGCGUGAGUAACGUGCCCUCCGGUGGGGUAUAGCCUCGGGAAACUGAGAGUAAUCCCGCAUACGAUCCGGUGACCUUGGUUGUCGGAUGAAAGCCUAACGGCGCCGGAGGAGUGGCUCGCGUCCUAUCAGGUAGUUGGUGAGGUAACGGCUCACCAAGCCUAUGACGGGUAGCUGGUCUUAGAGGACGAUCAGCCAGAGGGGGACUGAGACACGGCCCCCACUCCUACGGGAGGCAGCAGCAGGGAAUUUUYGGCAAUGGGCGAAAGCUGACCCAGCGACGUCGCGUGGGGGAUGAUGGCCUUAGGGCUGUAAACCCCUUUUCCCGGGGAAGAGAAAGGACGGUACCCGGGGAAUAAKCUCCGGCUAACUACGUGUCAGCAGCCGCGGUAAUACGUAGGGAGCAAGCGUUACCCGGAAUUACUKGGCGUAAWGUGCGCGUAGGCGGCUU
RNAcentral lists this ribosomal RNA (493 nucleotides) under uncultured bacterium. RNAcentral describes it as "bacterial SSU rRNA". It matches the Rfam family "Bacterial small subunit ribosomal RNA", at positions 57 to 581 of the family's 1533-position model. The record is from RNAcentral.